This 683-nucleotide ribosomal RNA is filed under the name uncultured Inocybe. Its description in RNAcentral is "eukaryotic LSU rRNA". The stretch from base 286 to 439 matches the Rfam family "5.8S ribosomal RNA". Lineage: Eukaryota; Fungi; Basidiomycota; Agaricomycetes; Agaricales; Cortinariaceae. The record is from RNAcentral.
CCGUAGGUGAACCUGCGGAAGGAUCAUUAUUGAGUAAACUUGAACAGGCUGUUUUGCUGUCCCCUAGUAGGGGUACGUGCACGCUUGUCAUCUUUAUUUCUCCAACUGUGCACAUAUUGUAGACCUGAGGAGUUGGUUUGAGAUGGGACUGCUGCGCUUCAUUUUAUUUUUGAAGUCGGCUUUCCCUUUGCCUUUUUUUCUUUCAGGUCUAUGUCAUUUUUUCACAAACAUCUGUAUUCGUUUAGAAUGUUGAAUCAGGUUCUUGUACCUAUAAAAGUUAUAUACAACUUUCAGCAACGGAUCUCUUGGCUCUCGCAUCGAUGAAGAACGCAGCGAAAUGCGAUAAGUAAUGUGAAUUGCAGAAUUCAGUGAAUCAUCGAAUCUUUGAACGCAUCUUGCGCUCCUUGGUAUUCCGAGGAGCAUGCCUGUUUGAGUGUCAUUUAAGUUCUCAACCACAACGGAUUCUUUUUCUGGUGUGGCUUGGAUGGUGGGGGUUGCAGGCCUUUGAAACACAAAGUCGGCUCCCCUGAAAUGCAUUAGUAGUAUCUGAGCAGUACUAAAGGUGUGUGAUAAAUCUAUCUACGCCUUGGUGCGCUGCAUCGAAAGGAUUGCACUGCUUAUAACCAAAAAAACGUAAUGAUGAAUUUGACCUCAAAUCAGGUAGGACUACCCGCUGAACUUAA